Molecule: unclassified non-coding RNA, 22 nt
Filed under: Mus musculus (house mouse)
Lineage: Eukaryota; Metazoa; Chordata; Mammalia; Rodentia; Muridae
Description: oocyte_clustered_small_RNA1009
Source: RNAcentral
AAAGGCAUGCCUUUCACCUGAG